GAAAUGCGAUACGUAGUGUGAAUUGCAGAAUUCAGUGAAUCAUCGAAUCUUUGAACGCACAUUGCGCCCGCCAGUAUUCUGGCGGGCAUGCCUGUUCGAGCGUCAUUUCAACCAUCAAGCCCCGGGCUUGUGUUGGGGACCUGCGGCUGCCGCAGGCCCUGAAAACCAGUGGCGGGCUCGCUGUCACACCGAGCGUAGUAGAUUCUCAUCUCGCUCAGGGCGUGCUGCGGGUUCCGGCCGUAAAACAGCCUUAUUUUACCCAAAGUUGACCUCGGAUCAGGUAGGAAGACCCGCUGAACUUAAGC
RNAcentral lists this unclassified non-coding RNA (305 nucleotides) under plant metagenome. Its description in RNAcentral is "partial contains 5.8S ribosomal RNA, internal transcribed spacer 2, and large subunit ribosomal RNA". The stretch from base 1 to 105 matches the Rfam family "5.8S ribosomal RNA", at positions 50 to 154 of the family's 154-position model. The record is from RNAcentral.